AUCUUAAAUCAAUUCUUUACAAAUAAACAAACUCAAACCAUAAUUGCUGAUUGGUACCCAACCAAAGAAUUCAUUACACGCAUUCAACACACCAAACCAUCAUAUGAUAAUGUCAAAAGGACAUAAUUUGUUUAGAUGGAGAUUAAAA
Ipomoea nil (Japanese morning glory) is the source of this 148-nucleotide long non-coding RNA. RefSeq lists it as uncharacterized. NCBI's taxonomy places the organism in Eukaryota, Viridiplantae, Streptophyta, Magnoliopsida, Solanales, Convolvulaceae. The record is from RefSeq and is a predicted model, not a curated record. The transcript has 4 exons.